RNAcentral lists this ribosomal RNA (546 nucleotides) under uncultured bacterium. RNAcentral's name for it is "bacterial SSU rRNA". It matches the Rfam family "Bacterial small subunit ribosomal RNA", at positions 355 to 896 of the family's 1533-position model. The record is from RNAcentral.
UGGGGAAUAUUGCGCAAUGGGGGGAACCCUGACGCAGCCAUGCGCGUGAAUGAAGAAGGCCUUCGGGUUGUAAAGUUCUUUCGGUAUUGAGGAAGGUUGAUGUGUUAAUAGCACAUCAAAUUGACGUUAAAUACAGAAGAAGCACCGGCUAACUCCGUGCCAGCAGCCGCGGUAAUACGGAGGGUGCGAGCGUUAAUCGGAAUAACUGGGCGUAAAGGGCAAGCAGGCGGUUAUUUAAGUGAGGUGUGAAAGCCCCGGGCUUAACCUGGGAAUUGCAUUUCAGACUGGGUAACUAGAGUACUUUAGGGAGGGGUAGAAUUCCACGUGUAGCGGUGAAAUGCGUAGAGAUGUGGAGGAAUACCGAAGGCGAAGCNAGCCCCUUGGGAAUGUACUGACGCUCAUGUGCGAAAGCGUGGGGAGCAAACAGGAUUAGAUACCCUGGUAGUCCACGCUGUAAACGCUGUCGAUUUGGGGGUUGGGGUUUAACUCUGGCGCCCGUAGCUAACGUGAUAAAUCGACCGCCUGGGGAGUACGGCCGCAAGNUUA